AGGUCUAAAGGAAGGGGACCUUGAGGAGCCCUGGGGAAGAAGGAAUAAUCCAGAGAAACACAAGGAGGGGAGUUGCUGCUGUGGAGGAUCUGCUGUGAGAGUUGGACAAAAGAGGGCUUCACAGGAACUUGCUUGCAACUCUUAAUAACUGUGAAUGAAUGGAACUGGUAUGAUCAAGUUCACAUGUAGUUUACUGCCAAGGAUUAUAUUUAAUUCUGCUGUCACAGACCCUAUUUAUAAGCUUCUGCAUUGCUCCAAGAAGAGACGUUAGGAGGGGGCUGUCUUGGACGUCACAGGACGCGCAGCUCCACACGCAGCAGCGCCAGCGCUUGCUGAUCAUCCCCCGUCCUAUACGGGAACAGCAAAGUGGCACUCUGACAGGAUGGUGAAAGAGGCACGAGGAGUCCCAAAAUAACAGAUGGCAGCGAAGCGCUAUUGGGUCUCCUAAGGGUUCCACAAGGAAUGGAGGUGUGUGAUAGUACGAGCUUCCAGAUGGCAGACUGUAGAAAAGACAGUCUCAUGGUCUGCUCUUGCGAAUCCGAACCACGUCACAGAAAGGCUGUAUCUAUGUGCGCUAGCAAUUCCAUGAACCGAACAGUAGCUGGAAAACCUUGCUAGUGAGGCCUUUACAUCUCCAUUGAGCGCUGCCUUGUCAGGUUUCUGUGGGACUCGAUUUAGCCUGGCAUUCUGAACUGAGUACUGGCAUCAGAUGGGCUUGGAAGCUGCUCAGAGCUUCAGUCAUUGAUUGACUCUUCUGUGCCAUUGAAGCUUGGGUGUGCAGUCACUGAGUACUUCUGGAGGUGAUGCUGUCAUCGCCUUCGUGCCCUGUUAAAUUGAGAGGAUGAUAACUCCUGAAUUCUGUCAAGAGAGCUUUUCCACAUUCCUACAUGCUGUUCCUGAGACACUUACUAGCGGGGCGUUGAUUUAUAGCCAGAAGGUAACCUCCUUCCAAGACAAAACAGCAAGAAAUUUGUUUGAAAAUAUCAUGCUUGUUUUAUUUCUACAGCUGGUGAUCGUAAGAACAAACUUUCAUGCUUAAGCAGUACAGUUGACUUGGGGGCCAACUGCCAUCAGCUUAGAGAGGUCUUUAAUUUGCAUUUGGGACCCAGUCUCUAAGAGCUGGCUUGAAGAAUGCGAAUCCUCACGAACAGGUUUCCUUACACAGAAAUAUUGAGGUCUGCUGCACCACCUGUAAGAACAAGCCGUGGUUCAGCUCCUGGUCAUCAUGCUGGUGAUUCCAGGACUGGACAAAUCAAUUGUUACAAUCAAUGUCUGCUGGAUCCUGCCCAGUAGCUUAAUCAAAGGUGCUAGUUCACCUUGGAUCCUACUGACAACAUGCCAGAGAGAAAAGUGUCUCACCUGUGAGCAAAAGGAUGUGUGUGUGCUUUUGGCCAAUAAACUACCAGAAGGCAUAGAGGCUGAAGAACAAAAUUUUUCCUCAUCUCAGAAGAAACUCAUCCUGAUUUACAUUCUUGUAGCUGAGAAAAUAAAAAAAGAGUCUCUGAAUAUCUUAGCAGACGUCAUCCGAUUGGAGAAAAGGUUAGGUUUGCACAUUUACGGUCUAUAAUAGUAUUUCUCUUCCUCAGCCACUGUUGGUCAGACCUGUGUGUGUGAAAUGCAAAUGCACAAAGUGGGAGAGUGAGAGGGAAUGUCAUGUUAUAGAAAAAAAUUGAGCAGGAAUAGGAGUGAAUAAAUUCAGAGAAAACUUGUCCAUUAGUCACUCAACCUCAUUGCUUUUUCAGCUGCCUUUCACGUCUUCACUUGCAUCUCCUAAAAGUAUUUUCUUUAUGAAUGUAAUUGUAAAAAAGCUAAACGUAGGCUGUUGGUAGUGCUGGGUUCGGAAGUACAACACUUAAUUAGAAAUAAAGCACUAAAAUGUGUAUCUGUCUGAGAAAUGGACAUAACUAUGAUUGUGAUGGUAAUGAAUCCAUUGUUAUUAAGAGGUACUUAACAGAACUGUGGUGGAUUACCUCGUGAAGGCACAAGCUGCACACUUUAGCUCUCCAAAAUUACUCUACUUGGUUCUCUAUAAAAAGGAUUUUUAUCUUCCUUUAGGCCUUUCCAGUUUUAGCUCUUCCUGGGGAAUGAAAUUAAGAAUCUGGGUGUACAGUCCUAGACAAACCAGCUAAUACUCUUUUUACUUUAAACAGUAUUGCUUUAUAUUAGAACAACUGGAAUAGACUUGUGGAGAACUUGAUUUUUGCAGUCAAAGAGACUUGGAGUGCUAAUUUUUGUGCCAGUGUGAUUUAAGAGCUGUCACAGCCUCCUGGUAGAAAGGAUGCAAAGCUAUCAGUGCCCCUUCUACUGCUAGCACUUCCCAAUUUCUCUCCUUGCAGCCACAGGAUGGAAAGAACUCCUUUCCUGCAACAGCCUCCCCCACCGCUCUGUAUCACCUCCAAGACUGUGUAAAGAUAAACCCUAUGUGUGAGUGUCUAAUCUGAACAGAAAGAAAGCCUUGCAUGUCAUUAGGAAUAGCUCUGCACUCACCUCACUGACCUAAGGUGUGGAAAUAGCUAUUAGGAUAUCCUGCCAAAGGAGAGGAGAUUCUUCAUCGCCCGCACGUUGAAUUUGGAGCCUGAAAGCGCCGCUGUGUGAUCAUGGGAGAGCUCUGAAGUGGCAAAGACCUAAACCUGCUUCCUGCAGUAACCAUGUGUUGGGGAAAAAGUGAGGGUACUCCUCUGUCCUGUCACAACAAGCUAAACUUGUGGGAAUUCUCCCAAACCAUCCCACGUGGCAAGGCCAAGCUUUUUUCAGAGUGCUACGUAGGUAUUUACCUAUAGAUUUCUUGCUACAAUUUCCAAAGCCAGUUUCAUGCCUGACAUGUUUCUUUGACACUGAUUAGUAUCUCAAAAGGGCACUUUGAUUAUUUUUUUUCCUUACAGGCAGGGGUGAUCAGGAAAAUGACUGUGUCUGAAAUAUGAAUAAUUAGGAAGUUCUCUUAUUCUUAUUUUGGUUUACUGCAACCAGAGACUAAACCUAUGCAUUUAUUUUUCUUCUCCUUAUUCCCCUCCUAUCUCAUAUAGGUAAAAACAUUGUGGUAUUAAUUCCCAUAAGAGGAAUGGAAUAGGUGAAUAUUUGAUACACUGGAAUGAAUAGUUUUAUGUAACUUUUUGCCAACUCAGUAUAUCCAGUGAUUGAUAAUUCUCUUUAGAAGUAGAAAUGACUGGGACUGUAAUAUUUUAAAAGUAUUACACAGCACUUUUAGACUAUUGUGAAGGGGAGAAAUGUUAGUAGCUGCCAUUUUUACUGUAAGGAGAUGUUCAGAAUUGAACUUAAAGUGCACUGAAGGAAUGAUACUCGUACCUAAUGCCCUUAAGAGGGCGCUUAAUCACCACUGCUUUUGUUUUUAACAUCUCUUAUUAUAAUGUAAUUUAAAAAUAAUCUUCCACUGUACUAGGUUAACAUCUGACUGCAACUUCUUUGGGCUAGUUGUGGUUACUGGCAUCGAUAGAUACAAGUAUGCAGCCGCACUGAUUUAGUUAGGCUUAUUUUAUGUAGUAGCUGUGUCAGUUCACACAAGUGCCACUUCCACCCAGAGCAGCAGGUGCAAAGCAGUUUCCCACCCCUUAAAAGAAACAGCUUUUCAUUGCGCAGAAGGAUUCUGAAUUGAUUUGAGGUUUUCUUUGGCUCUGCCUUCUGUGAUAGUCGUCAUCUCAUGAAAUAAGCACUGCCUGUUGUGCCUGAGGUUAAUGGGAAAAAGAUACUUAAUUAGCUUGCCAUAGAUCUAGGGGACCGCUGUACCUCUUUUUUUUUUUUUUUUUUUUUUUUUUGGACCUUGACCAGAUUAUUGCAUAUUUCGGAGACAAAACUGAUGAAAGAAGCUAUUUGGCCAUCCUUCUGUCCAUCCAUCUUAAUACAUAAAACAAACCAUUACUUCUGUUCUGAAGUGGUAAAGGGUGGCUCUGAAGGGCUCACAAGCUCUAGAAAAUGUGGUUCUGGAGGCUUUGGAGCAAAGGAACUUCUGCAUCUUUUGCCUUUGCAUUUUGUUGCUCGUGCUGGGGAGGUCUUGGUACUUGAUGCAUUCUCAGACUGGUUCCAGUCCUUGAAGGUGCCACCAGGUGAAACAAGCAUGACAGGUACUUGAUGAACAAUAAGGACAGAACUGCAGCCUUCCAGUACUAGGAAAAGAAAUGUUACAGGUUUUCUUAAUGCACUGACAUGUCACAAACUAUUUUACAUCUGAGAAGCUCCUCCAGUGUCAAAGUGACUUAAAAGUUAUUGCUGAUGUGUCAUAGGAGGCAUGUGAAAAUAAAGGAGCCUCUUCCAGAGGUAGCAGUGGAGACCUCUGGUUUGUGUUUUU
Molecule: long non-coding RNA, 4300 nt
Organism: Hirundo rustica (Barn swallow)
Lineage: Eukaryota; Metazoa; Chordata; Aves; Passeriformes; Hirundinidae
Exons: 4
Source: RefSeq, a predicted model, not a curated record